AAAAGCCCAAGAUUGAAAGCUGGCGUCUUCGGCGUCCGCAUUGUAAUCUCAAGAAGUGUUUUCCGCUUCGGACCAAGCCUAAGUCCCUUGGAAAAGGGCAUCGUAGAGGGUGAAAAUCCCGUACAUGGUUUGGAGCGCCCGGAGCUUUGUGAUACGCUUUCUAAGAGUCGAGUUGUUUGGGAAUGCAGCUCAAAAUGGGUGGUAAAUGCCAUCUAAGGCUAAAUAUUGGGGAGAGACCGAUAGCGAACAAGUACAGUGAUGGAAAGAUGAAAAGAACUUUGAAAAGAGAGUUAAACAGUACGUGAAAUUGCCAAAAGGGAAGGGUAGGAGGUCAGAGAUGCGGUCUGGGAUUCAGCCUUGCUUUUGCUUGGUGUUUUUCCCAGUUUGCAGGCCAACGUCGGUUUUGGGCACUGGAGAAGGGUGGGAGGAACGUGGCACUCUUCGGAGUGUGUUAUAGCCUCCUACUGGAUACAGCGACCGAGACCGAGG
RNAcentral lists this ribosomal RNA (489 nucleotides) under Pseudozyma sp. UFMG-CM-Y1455. Its description in RNAcentral is "eukaryotic LSU rRNA". It matches the Rfam family "Eukaryotic large subunit ribosomal RNA", at positions 103 to 593 of the family's 3401-position model. The record is from RNAcentral. Lineage: Eukaryota; Fungi; Basidiomycota; Ustilaginomycetes; Ustilaginales; Ustilaginaceae.